This 497-nucleotide ribosomal RNA is filed under the name uncultured bacterium. RNAcentral describes it as "partial 16S ribosomal RNA". It matches the Rfam family "Bacterial small subunit ribosomal RNA", at positions 36 to 507 of the family's 1533-position model. The record is from RNAcentral.
UCUUCCCUCUUUCUUCGUGCCUAAUUCAUGCAAGUCGAGCGAACGGACGAGAAGCUUGCUUCUCUGAUGUUAGCGGCGGACGGGUGAGUAACACGUGGAUAACCUACCUAUAAGACUGGGAUAACUUCGGGAAACCGUAGCUAAUACCGGAUAAUAUUUUGAACCGCAUGGUUCAAAAGUGAAAGACGGUCUUGCUGUCACUUAUAGAUGGAUCCGCGCUGCAUUAGCUAGUUGGUAAGGUAACGGCUUACCAAAGCAACGAUGCAUAGCCGACCUGAGAGGGUGAUCGGCCACACUGGAACUGAGACACGGUCCAGACUCCUACGGGAGGCAGCAGUAGGGAAUCUUCCGCAAUGGGCGAAAGCCUGACGGAGCAACGCCGCGUGAGUGAUGAAGGUCUUCGGAUCGUAAAACUCUGUUAUUAGGGAAGAACAUAUGUGUAAGUAACUGUGCACAUCUUGACGGUACCUAAUCAGAAAGCCACGGCUAACUACGUG